CAGGAGAUAGUUUAGGUAGAAUAUCAGCUUUGGGUGUUGAUGGUGAAGUUUGAAGCUUCUCUCUUGA
RNAcentral lists this transfer RNA (67 nucleotides) under Hypsugo alaschanicus (Alashanian pipistrelle). RNAcentral describes it as "tRNA-Pro". It matches the Rfam family "tRNA". From Rfam's summary of the family: Transfer RNA (tRNA) molecules are approximately 80 nucleotides in length. Lineage: Eukaryota; Metazoa; Chordata; Mammalia; Chiroptera; Vespertilionidae. The record is from RNAcentral.